RNAcentral lists this ribosomal RNA (417 nucleotides) under Planorbis planorbis. RNAcentral describes it as "partial large subunit ribosomal RNA". The stretch from base 1 to 139 matches the Rfam family "Archaeal large subunit ribosomal RNA", at positions 1904 to 2084 of the family's 2987-position model. The record is from RNAcentral. Lineage: Eukaryota; Metazoa; Mollusca; Gastropoda; Planorbidae.
AACAUAGUUUUAUGUAUUUAUAUAAAAUAUUUUCUGCCCAAUGUUUUUGAAAAAAAUCAAUGGCCGCAGUACCUUGACUGUGCUAAGGUAGCAUAAUCAAUUGGCUUUUAAUUAAGGUCUAGAAUGAAUGGGAUAAUGAAGUUAAUCUGUCUUAGUUGCUUUUAUUAAAAUUUAUUUAAAAGGUGAAAAUACCUUUUUUAAAAAUAAAGACGAGAAGACCCUUAGAAUUUUUAUUAUUUUUUUUGUUGGGGCGACAGUUUAAAAUAUAAUCUUAAAUUUAUUGUAAAUAUAUAACGAUUUUUUUAAUAGAAAUUAAAUUACCUUAGGGAUAACAGCAUAAUUAAUUAUUUAGUUUGUGACCUCGAUGUUGGACUAGGAACUAUAUGGCUAACCGUCUAAUUAGAUUUGUUCUGUUCG